RNAcentral lists this ribosomal RNA (371 nucleotides) under uncultured organism. Its description in RNAcentral is "partial 16S ribosomal RNA". It matches the Rfam family "Bacterial small subunit ribosomal RNA", at positions 527 to 896 of the family's 1533-position model. The record is from RNAcentral.
GUAGGUGGCAAGCGUUGUCCGGAAUUAUUGGGCGUAAAGCGCGCGCAGGCGGUCCUUUAAGUCUGAUGUGAAAGCCCACGGCUCAACCGUGGAGGGUCAUUGGAAACUGGGGGACUUGAGUACAGAAGAGGAAAGCGGAAUUCCAAGUGUAGCGGUGAAAUGCGUAGAGAUUUGGGGGAACACCAGUGGCGAAGGCGGCUUUCUGGUCUGUAACUGACGCUGAGGCGCGAAAGCGUGGGGAGCAAACAGGAUUAGAUACCCUGGUAGUCCACGCCGUAAACGAUGAGUGCUAAGUGUUAGGGGGUUUCCGCCCCUUAGUGCUGCAGCUAACGCAUUAAGCACUCCGCCUGGGGAGUACGGCCGCAAGGCUG